AAGUCGUAACAAGGUAGCCGUAGGGGAACCUGCGGCUGGAUCACCUCCUUUCUAAGGACGAUCCCUCAGUAUUGAGACUUCGGUCUCGAUCUAUCGGAUCUCUUCAGAAACAUCAGCCGGACAUAGGUGGAAACAUCAUGAUCUGGCAUUGGCGGGACACCGCCGUCUUCGUUUCUCUUUCUUCGCGGACAAGCUUGACGCCCAGGUUGCGGUCCUUUGGACUGCGUUCCGGUUUCGGGCCUGUAGCUCAGGUGGUUAGAGCGCACCCCUGAUAAGGGUGAGGUCGGACGUUCGAGUCGUCCCAGGCCCACCACCAUCAGACAGUUCUUGCCUGCGCCUCAUGUCCGAAGCUUCGCGAACUCUCGCCUGUGGCAUCCUGUGAUGGGGCCAUAGCUCAGUUGGGAGAGCGCGUGCUUUGCAAGCAUGAGGUCGUCGGUUCGAUCCCGUCUGGCUCCACCAUUCUUCUUUUCUUGAGGAAGAUGAUGGCAGGGUGGUUUGCGCUCGGCUCCUUUGAGUGAAGGCUCUUGGGGUCUUGAGCGUCUUGUCCGCGAAUAUCUGUUUCGCAUGUUCCAUCAUGCCGGUCUCCGGCGGAACAUGCACGGCUGUAUGACAUCGUGAAUAGGGCAUUGAUCGACUGUACCGUGGCAACACGGUCGGGUCGUGGGGAAGGUGGCGACACCUUUCGAUGCGAUCAUUGGGUGCUGACCGCACCAUUGUCGACAAUGCGAAGCUGGUCUUUUCAAAGAAGACGUCGAAGCCGUCCGGCCGGGAGCAAUCCUGGUGCGGGCCUCUGCCGAGGGGUGGGCAUCGACGAUGAGAACGAUCAAGUGUCUUAAGGGCAUUCGGUGGAUGCCUUGGCGCUAAGAGGCGAAGAAGGACGUGAUACGCUGCGAUAAGCUUCGGGGAGCCGCGAAUGGGCUUUGAUCCGGAGAUUUCCGAAUGGGGCAACCCA
RNAcentral lists this unclassified non-coding RNA (952 nucleotides) under Xanthobacter flavus. RNAcentral describes it as "partial contains 16S ribosomal RNA, 16S-23S ribosomal RNA intergenic spacer, and 23S ribosomal RNA". The stretch from base 822 to 952 matches the Rfam family "Bacterial large subunit ribosomal RNA", at positions 1 to 130 of the family's 2925-position model. Lineage: Bacteria; Pseudomonadati; Pseudomonadota; Alphaproteobacteria; Hyphomicrobiales; Xanthobacteraceae. The record is from RNAcentral.